UGUCGUAACAAGGUUUCCGUAGGUGAACCUGCGGAAGGAUCAUUCGCACGCAUCCAAACGAACCACUGUGCAUUUCUCUUGUGAGGGUCCGGGCGAGGAUGGAGAUGUUUGGUCACAUUCAUCGAUGCCCUCGCCUGGAAACUCGAGGGCAGCAGGGUGGAGUUGGACUGUCUUCCGGCUUCGCUCCUGUUGCCGAGCUUUUCUUUGAACUUUUGCUUCGGCACACCACUGUAACAUCAUCUGGUGGGCUUCCCCACUGAAAUAGUUGUUUACAACUUUCAGCGACGGAUGUCUCGGCUCGAACAACGAUGAAGGGCGCAGCGAAGUGCGAUAAGCAUUGUGAAUUGCAGAAUUCCGUGAACCAAUAGAGAUUUGAACGUAUCUUGCGCUUUCGGGAUAUCCCUGAAAGCAUGCCUGCUUCAGUGUCUCUACCUCUUACUGCCAGCGGCAUCUGCCCUCCUGGGGCAUGUAUGCAGCUGUUGCGUAUUUGCGUGUCAAGGUGUUUCGUGCUUCUUUUAGCGCAGACCCCUGACGCGUUUAGCAUACAAGGGCUUUCUGCGACAAGCAACUCAGUGAGCGUCUCUGAUGCCAUUCCGGUUGUCUUGCUUGCGGGCAGCGCUUUGAUCUCUAUGGCCAUUCUGGCUUUUUCACCAAGACAUGAAGUUAGGUCAGCAAACCCGCUGAAUUUAAGCAUAUAAGUAAGCGGAGGAAAAGAAACUAAAUAGGAUUCCCUUAGUAAUGGCGAAUGAACAGGGAUCAGCUCAGUAUGGAAAUCGGGGCUUCCCAGCCUUGAAUUGUAGUCUCAAGAUGUAUCGCCAACGGAGGCGCAGAUGUAAGCCUCUUGGAAAAGAGCAUCAAUGAGGGUGAGAAUCCCGUUUGUCAUCUGCAGUCCCCCGUGCACGGUGUACGUUCUAAGAGUCGCGUUCCUCGGGAUUGGAGCGUAAAGUGGGUGGUAAAUUUCAUCUAAGGCUAAAUAUGGGUUCGAGACCGAUAGCAGACAAGUACCAUGAGGGAAAGAUGAAAAGGACUUUGAAAAGAGAGUUAAAAGUGCCUGAAAUUGCUGAAAGGGAAGCGAAUGGAACCAGUGCUCUUGGCGAGAUUGUUGUGCGCUAUGGUGAUUGCGGGCUGCUUCAGCGCAAGCGAGGUAGUUUGUAUUGAGCUUGACGCGCGCAGUGUUUCUUACCUUGUGCGUCAUCGUCGGCUCACAGGCGGGGACACUUCUGAGGACAUGGUAGCUCUUCCACGGAGGCGUGAAUGUCUUUGGUAAUACUCGCUCGUAGACCGUUCACCUUCGGGUUACGAUGACUAAAUGGUUCUAUCCGACCCGUCUUGAAACACGGACCAAGGAGUCUAACAUAUGUGCGAGUUCUCGGGUGGUUAAACCUGCUUGCGCAAUGAAAGUGACUGCUGGGAUCUUUGCACCAGCAACCGACCAAUCAAUUAAGAGAGGUUUGAGUAUGAGCAUAUCUGUUAGGACCCGAAAGAUGGUGAACUAUGCGUGA
This 1502-nucleotide ribosomal RNA is filed under the name Phaeocystis antarctica. RNAcentral's name for it is "eukaryotic LSU rRNA". The stretch from base 654 to 1502 matches the Rfam family "Eukaryotic large subunit ribosomal RNA", at positions 1 to 840 of the family's 3401-position model. Lineage: Eukaryota; Haptophyta; Phaeocystales; Phaeocystaceae. The record is from RNAcentral.